This 700-nucleotide non-coding RNA is filed under the name Cooperia oncophora. The record is from RNAcentral. Lineage: Eukaryota; Metazoa; Nematoda; Chromadorea; Rhabditida; Trichostrongylidae.
UUAUUAAAGAAUGCUUUUAUAGAUAUAAAAUUUAAUUAUGAUUUAUAAAGAGUUAAGAUAAUAUUAUUUAGGUUUAAUUUAUUUAGUGGGCAAUAAAAUUUAACCCCGGUAGUUAAUUGUUUGUAUAAUACUUGUUCCAGAAUAAUCGGCUAGGCUUGUUAAAUUUAUACUUUAUUUUUGGUAAAUUACAAUUUUAAUAAAUGAAUUUAUAUAAUUUUAGGUAAAAUUUUAAUUAUUUAAUGGGUAAAGUUGUACUUUAAAGUUUUGGUAAUCAAAUUAGAUUAGUACCUAAGUAGUCAAAUUUAAAAAGUGCAGAAGUAAAGUUGUAUUUAAACUGUAAGAAUAUUGGCAGAUUUUCUAAAUUAUCUUUGGAGGCUGAGUGGUAAUUGAGAACCCCCAUUAACUGCUAAUUUUUUUGGCUCAUGUAUGAUCGUUUAUUUUAUUCUUGAGGUAUAAAAUGUUUAAAUUUUUUUUUAAAAAAAUAGAUAUAUAUGUGGUGUAUAAGUAAGAAAUAUUUGGCCUACAAUAUUGUAUUAUGUGGAUAUGAAAUUUAGUGGUUUUGUUGAAAAUGUAAAAGACAGUAAAAAAAUUUUUAUGGUUUUUUGAAGAUUAUUUAGUAAUGGUACAAAUCAUCCAUCAAUUGCCCACAGGGGAGUAAGUUGUAGUAAAGUAGAUUUGGGGGAACUUAAAUCUAAUAAAA